Long non-coding RNA from Oreochromis niloticus (Nile tilapia), 172 nucleotides. RefSeq lists it as uncharacterized. The record is from RefSeq and is a predicted model, not a curated record. The transcript has 3 exons. Lineage: Eukaryota; Metazoa; Chordata; Actinopteri; Cichliformes; Cichlidae.
UUAAGAAUCUGAUGAAAAGGAGAAACAAAAAGAGACACACCACAAACGAGUUUCCCUGACUAAUAUGAGAGGAGCAGUAACUGCAUAAGGAGGAAGAAACAGGAGCAUCCAAAGACAGCCUGAGAGUCUUCAGUGCACCGUGAACAGCAGUCACCUCAGAGCAAGAGAGUCC